AGUGAACGCUGGCGGUAGGCCUAACACAUGCAAGUCGAACGGCAGCACAGUAAGAGCUUGCUCUUACGGGUGGCGAGUGGCGGACGGGUGAGGAAUACAUCGGAAUCUACUUUUUCGUGGGGGAUAACGUAGGGAAACUUACGCUAAUACCGCAUACGACCUACGGGUGAAAGCAGGGGAUCUUCGGACCUUGCGCGAUUGAAUGAGCCGAUGUCGGAUUAGCUAGUUGGCGGGGUAAAGGCCCACCAAGGCGACGAUGCGUAGCUGGUCUGAGAGGAUGAUCAGCCACAAUGGAACUGAGACACGGUCCAGACUCCUACGGGAGGCAGCAGUGGGGAAUAUUGGACAAUGGGCGCAAGCCUGAUCCAGCCAUACCGCGUGGGUGAAGAAGGCCUUCGGGUUGUAAAGCCCUUUUGUUGGGAAAGAAAAGCAGCAGGUUAAUACCCCGCUGUUCUGACGGUACCCAAAGAAUAAGCACCGGCUAACUUCGUG
This 492-nucleotide ribosomal RNA is filed under the name uncultured bacterium. RNAcentral's name for it is "partial 16S ribosomal RNA". It matches the Rfam family "Bacterial small subunit ribosomal RNA", at positions 29 to 507 of the family's 1533-position model. The record is from RNAcentral.